RNAcentral lists this long non-coding RNA (612 nucleotides) under Physcomitrium patens. RNAcentral's name for it is "long non-coding RNA (PPAT_LNC013350)". The record is from RNAcentral. Lineage: Eukaryota; Viridiplantae; Streptophyta; Bryopsida; Funariales; Funariaceae.
AUUAUCUUUUUGAUUUGAAUCAUUUAAGUAAAAUUAGCAAAUUAGAAGGAUAGAUAAUUUAAUAUUUUAUAUAUUAUGAUAGUAUUACUUUAUAGGUGUCUUAUGUCUUUUAGUUCUCUAAUAAUACUAUAAAUUUAAAAAAUAUAAGAUGACACAACUUAAUUUUUUGAUAAUGCUCUAAAUUGACAAAAUAAAUGGCUUCUUAUUUGUUUAGCACAACCAUUGAAUUUGUAAUAGUUUCUAAGGAAAAUACCCCUUAUAGAUGUGUCUAUUUAAUUUUGAAAUCUUCUAUAUCUUUAAUAUAUGGUAGUAUCUUAUAAGUGGUAGAUAAACAAAGAUAGGCCAUUGCCUUGGUAAUUUUUUUGCAUUGUAUCUCAAAUUUAGUUGUUGUAAGGAUCAAGUCAUAUAAAUCAAUUGUUUUUUUGCUAUAAAUCAAGUGAUGCAAUUCCUUUAUAUGUCAAUAAUAAGUAUAUCACAUCUCAUAGGUCAUCUCCUAAAAUAUGUUGUGUAUGAGGGAUUACCAUUCCUUGUAAUUAUGACCAUUUAGGUAGUUUCUCUCUCCUACUAUGUUAUGAAGUGUGCUUUUUAUUUUGAACUAGUGCUUGUGAAUAA